RNAcentral lists this unclassified non-coding RNA (348 nucleotides) under soil metagenome. Its description in RNAcentral is "partial contains 5.8S ribosomal RNA, internal transcribed spacer 2, and large subunit ribosomal RNA". The stretch from base 1 to 120 matches the Rfam family "5.8S ribosomal RNA", at positions 35 to 154 of the family's 154-position model. The record is from RNAcentral.
GAUGAAGAACGCAGCGAAAUGCGAUAAGUAAUGUGAAUUGCAGAAUUCAGUGAAUCAUCGAGUCUUUGAACGCACAUUGCGCCCCCUGGUAUUCCGGGGGGCAUGCCUGUCCGAGCGUCAUUGCCGCCCUCAAGCACGGCUUGUGAGUUGGGCCCCCGCCCCCCGGCUUCGGGGGGCGGGCCCGAAAGGCAGCGGCGGCACCGCGUCCGGUCCUCGAGCGUAUGGGGCUUCGUCACCCGCUCUGUAGGCCCGGCCGGCGCCCGCCGGCGACCCCAAUCAAUCUUUCCAGGUUGACCUCGGAUCAGGUAGGGAUACCCGCUGAACUUAAGCAUAUCAAUAAGCGGAGGA